GUGGCAGCCGCCGCGGUAAUACGGAGGGUGCAAGCGUUAUCCGGAUUCACUGGGUUUAAAGGGUGCGUAGGCGGGUAGGUAAGUCAGUGGUGAAAUCUCAGAGCUUAACUCUGAAACUGCCAUUGAUACUAUCUAUCUUGAAUAUUGUGGAGGUAAGCGGAAUAUGUCAUGUAGCGGUGAAAUGCUUAGAUAUGACGUAGAACACCCAUUGCGAAGGCAGCUUACUACACAUAUAUUGACGCUGAUGCACGAAAGCGUGGGGAUCAAACAGGAUUAGAUACCCCGGUAGUC
This 291-nucleotide ribosomal RNA is filed under the name uncultured Chitinophagaceae bacterium. RNAcentral describes it as "partial 16S ribosomal RNA". It matches the Rfam family "Bacterial small subunit ribosomal RNA", at positions 505 to 795 of the family's 1533-position model. Lineage: Bacteria; Pseudomonadati; Bacteroidota; Chitinophagia; Chitinophagales; Chitinophagaceae. The record is from RNAcentral.